CCCGUUUAGGAAUUUGGUUGAAUGGCAUGGGAGUCACUUGUAAAUAAUUAUUACUUUUAUGAUACAAAUGUUUUUGAAGGACAGCUAAAGUCCUUAUUAAAAAUGUAUUAUGCCCCUGUGAAAUUUCUCCACCCCUAAGAUUAAUAUAUUUGAGGAAGAUGGAGUAUUUUUCUACCUUGUAAUCCCACAUGAAGGAUAAUUUUGGGCAGUGCCACAGGUUAAGUGUGUAUCAUGAAGUUCACUUUCCUCUCCACUGCCAUUUCUCUCCGUUAAUUCAAUGAAAAGUCCACCAAAAUACAGUAGGACUCAGAAUACGGAAGCUGUGGCUACGCAAGAAAAGUUCAUUCAAAAUUGAUUUUCUUUCAGGAAUCCCUGAUAUUCUUCAUUCCAAUUGUUCCCCUCUACUGUAGGCCUCGGUAAACACUUAAGCAAGUUGCCACGCGCUGCAGCCUGCUGGAGACAUGAAGGAAUGUAGAGCGGGAUAAUCACAACAUCAUCAACCCAAUUCUCCAAGGUAGCUGGCCAAUAAUGCUGUUCUAAUUGAAUAACUUAUCCACAGCUAUUUCCCCUGGGAGAGUCAAAGGCUCAGCCUCCGCUAAGAGGCAGAUGGUGCCGCAUAUACAAUGAAACCUGUAAUUUUCUCUUGCCAUUGGACAUGCUAACAGUGGGCUGUUUCUGCUUAUUCUUUAAUAUUUUAUUUUAAUAGUCCCUUCCCAAAUUAUAAUGUACCAUGAAGCAGCCAAAGAUGGAUUGAGUGAUACAUAUCAUGUUUAAUUUAUCACACCUCUAGCUCACCGAACAACUCACUUGGUAAUCAGCAGGAGUAUAUGUCAGUCAGGUGCAAACUGAUAUGAAAGCAACAGAAAAGAACCCAAUUAAAACCAAAAGGGGAGAUGAGUCUUCAGGGUGGCAUGGCAUUAACUAGCAGCAAAGUAUGGAACAUCAAAUGCAUUCUAAUUCCGAUUUUUUUAGCGGUAAUUUGCAGUGGAAUAUGCAUACCCUGUGUAUUUGGUAAGACAAUGGAAAGAUUGUGUUUUGCUCAACCGAUUCGACCACUGGGCUCUAAAGGAGGGUGAAGGGCUAUGCAGCUGCUUGGUUUUGAUCUUCUACUGGCAGCCAAAAUUGUAAGAGGAAAGUGCAGGCUUAAGGGGUAAGCAGUGACAGCCCAUCAGUGGUCUAACAACAAGACAAAUGACAGGCCCACAGGCACACCGAGGACGGCCAGCCCAUCAGCUUUGAAGACUGCCAAAUGGCAGCUACAG
This 1262-nucleotide long non-coding RNA is filed under the name Lynx pardinus (Iberian lynx). The record is from RNAcentral. Lineage: Eukaryota; Metazoa; Chordata; Mammalia; Carnivora; Felidae.